CCUACGGGUGGCAGCAGUGAGGAAUAUUUGUCAAUGGGCGGAAGCCUGAACCAGCCAAGUAGCGUGCGGGAUGAAGGCCCUACGGGUCGUAAACCGCUUUUGCACGGGGAUAACACCCUCCACUUGUGGAGGUCUGCAGGUACCGUGCGAAUAAGGGCCGGCUAAUUCCGUGCCAGGCGCCGCUGUAAUACGGAAGGCCCGAGCGUUAUCCGGAUUCAUUGGGGUUAAAGGGAGCGUAGGCGGGCGUUAAAGUCAGCUGUAAAAUCGCGCGGCUCAACCGCGCCCCGCAGUUGAAACUGGACGCCUUGAGUCCACAACAGGCAGGCGGAAUUCGUGGUGUAGCGGUGAAAUGCAUAGAUAUCGCGCAGAACUCCGAUUGCGAAGGCAGCAUGCCGGCUCCACACUGACGCUGAGGCACGAAAGCGUGGGUAUCGAACAGGAUUAGAUACCCCUGUAGUC
RNAcentral lists this ribosomal RNA (459 nucleotides) under uncultured bacterium. RNAcentral describes it as "partial 16S ribosomal RNA". It matches the Rfam family "Bacterial small subunit ribosomal RNA", at positions 338 to 795 of the family's 1533-position model. The record is from RNAcentral.